RNAcentral lists this ribosomal RNA (432 nucleotides) under uncultured bacterium. RNAcentral's name for it is "bacterial SSU rRNA". It matches the Rfam family "Bacterial small subunit ribosomal RNA", at positions 64 to 507 of the family's 1533-position model. The record is from RNAcentral.
GAACGAGGCUGAUCCGGUAGCAUACCGGUGACUGCCUAGUGGCGAACGGGUGCGUAACACGUGAGCAACCUGCCCCGAAGACUGGGAUAACGCCGGGAAACCGGUGCUAAUACCAGAUGCCCCCUCGGGUCCACAUGGACCUGCGAGGAAAGGAAUCCGCUUCGGGAGGGGCUCGCGGCCUAUCAGCUUGUUGGUGGGGUAACGGCCCACCAAGGCUACGACGGGUAGCUGGUCUGAGAGGACGAUCAGCCACACUGGGACUGAGACACGGCCCAGACUCCUACGGGAGGCAGCAGUGGGGAAUCUUGCGCAAUGGGCGAAAGCCUGACGCAGCAACGCCGCGUGGGGGAUGAAGGCCCUCNGGGUUGUAAACCCCUUUCAGCAGGAACGAAUCUGACGGUACCUGCAGAAGAAGCCCCGGCCAACUACGUG